AAAGGUAGAUAGACAAUAGCUUGAUUUCAAGAGGAAAGUCCGUGCUGCAGUGAAGCAAGGUUCCAUCUAACGGAUGGCUAGAGUAAUCUAAGGGAUAGUGCAACAGAAAGUAUACAGCCAAUUUUUUUGGUGAUGGUGAAACGGUAGAGUAAGAGCCUACCAGUGUUUUGAGUAAUCUUAACAGCUUUGUAAACCCAACUUGUAGUAAGAAGACAUGGUAUUUAGCUUCACAUUUUUCGUCUUCGCAGGAGUAUUAAAGUGAUUUAAUACCUAGAUAAAUUAUUGUCAAAUACAAAACACGGCUUACAAUCUACCUUUUUCU
RNAcentral lists this RNase P RNA (322 nucleotides) under Arcobacter sp. RNAcentral describes it as "RNase P RNA component class A". It matches the Rfam family "Bacterial RNase P class A". From Rfam's summary of the family: Ribonuclease P (RNase P) is a ubiquitous endoribonuclease, found in archaea, bacteria and eukarya as well as chloroplasts and mitochondria. Its best characterised activity is the generation of mature 5'-ends of tRNAs by cleaving the 5'-leader elements of precursor-tRNAs. Lineage: Bacteria; Pseudomonadati; Campylobacterota; Epsilonproteobacteria; Campylobacterales; Arcobacteraceae. The record is from RNAcentral. RNAcentral also lists the same sequence under 1 other name.